Molecule: ribosomal RNA, 497 nt
Filed under: uncultured bacterium
Lineage: Bacteria
Description: partial 16S ribosomal RNA
Rfam family: Bacterial small subunit ribosomal RNA
Source: RNAcentral
GAUGAACGCUGGCGGCGUGCCUAAUACAUGCAAGUAGAACGCUGAAGGAAGGAGCUUGCUCUUUCCGGAUGAGUUGCGAACGGGUGAGUAACGCGUAGGUAACCUGCCUGGUAGCGGGGGAUAACUAUUGGAAACGAUAGCUAAUACCGCAUAACAGUAGAUGUUGCAUGAUAUCUACUUAAAAGGUGCAAUUGCACCACUACCAGAUGGACCUGCGUUGUAUUAGCUAGUUGGUGAGGUAACGGCUCACCAAGGCGACGAUACAUAGCCGACCUGAGAGGGGGAUCGGCCACACUGGGACUGGGACACGGCCCAGACUCCUACGGGAGGCAGCAGUAGGGAAUCUGCGGCAAUGGACGGAAGUCUGACCGAGCAACGCCGCGUGAGUGAAGAAGGUGUUCGGAUCGUAAAGCUCUGUUGUAAGAGAAGAACGAGUGUGAGAGUGGAAAGUUCACACUGUGACGGUAUCUGACCAGAAAGGGACGGCUAACUACGUG